CUAGAGAAGUGUUUUCCGCGUUGGACCGUGUAUAAGUCUCUUGGAACAGAGCGUCAUAGAGGGUGAGAAUCCCGUCUUUGACACGGACUACCAAUGCUUUGUGAUACACUCUCAAAGAGUCGAGUUGUUUGGGAAUGCAGCUCAAAAUGGGUGGUAAAUUCCAUCUAAAGCUAAAUAUUGGCGAGAGACCGAUAGCGAACAAGUACCGUGAGGGAAAGAUGAAAAGCACUUUGGAAAGAGAGUUAAACAGUACGUGAAAUUGCUGAAAGGGAAACGAUUGAAGUCAGUCGCGUUAGCUAGAACUCAACCAGGCUUGCUUGGCGUAUUUUCUAGUUAACGGGCCAGCAUCAGUUUUGACCGCAGGAAAAAGGCCAGAGAAAUGUGGCACCCUCGGGUGUGUUAUAGUCUUUGGUCAUAUACUGCGAUUGGGACUGAGGUUCGCAGCACGCGCAAGCUGUGCUUAGGAUGCUGGCGUAAUGGCUUUAAACGACCCGUCUUGAAACACGGACCAAGGAGUCUAACAAACCUGCGAGUAUUUGGGUGGUAAACCCGAGUGCGCAAUGAAAGUAAAAGUUGGGAUCCCUGUCGUGGGGAGCACCGACGCCCGGACCAGACCUUCUGUGACGGAUCUGCGGUAGAGCAUGUUUGUUGGGACCCGAAAGAUGGUGAACUAUGCCUGAAUAGGGUGAAGCCAGAGGAAACUCU
This 705-nucleotide ribosomal RNA is filed under the name Termitomyces sp. RNAcentral describes it as "eukaryotic LSU rRNA". It matches the Rfam family "Eukaryotic large subunit ribosomal RNA", at positions 150 to 865 of the family's 3401-position model. The record is from RNAcentral. Lineage: Eukaryota; Fungi; Basidiomycota; Agaricomycetes; Agaricales; Lyophyllaceae.